UACGUAGGGUGCAAGCGUUAUCCGGAAUUAUUGGGCGUAAAGAGCUCGUAGGCGGUUUGUCGCGUCUGCUGUGAAAACUGGAGGCUCAACCUCCAGCCUGCAGUGGGUACGGGCAAACUAGAGUGCGGUAGGGGAGAUUGGAAUUCCUGGUGUAGCGGUGAAAUGCGCAGAUAUCAGGAGGAACACCGGUGGCGAAGGCGGGUCUCUGGGCCGAAAUUGACGCUGAGGAGCGAAAGCGUGGGGAGCAAACAGG
RNAcentral lists this ribosomal RNA (253 nucleotides) under uncultured bacterium. RNAcentral describes it as "partial 16S ribosomal RNA". It matches the Rfam family "Bacterial small subunit ribosomal RNA", at positions 524 to 776 of the family's 1533-position model. The record is from RNAcentral.